GACGAACGCUGGCGGCGUGCUUAACACAUGCAAGUCGAACGGUGAAGCGCCUUCCUUUUUGGUUGGUGUGGUUGAGUGGCGAACGGGUGAGUAACACGUGAGUAACCUGCCCCCUUCUUUUGGAUAACCGCAUGAAAGUGUGUCUAAUACGGGAUAUCCUGCGUCUGUCGCAUGAUGGGUCUGGGUCAGAUAUUGUUUCGGUGGGGGCUGCUCUCGCGGCCUAUCAGCUUGUUGGUGGGGUGAUGGCCUACCAAGGCGGUGGGGGGUAGCCGGCCUGGGAGGGUAGACGGGCAGAGAGGGAGUGAGACACGGUCGAGACUGAGAUGCGAGGCAGAAUUGGGGAAGAGGGAACAAUGGGGGCAAGCGUGAUGCGGGGAGGCGGCGUGAGGGAUGGAGGCGUGCGGGGGGUGAACCUCUUUGGGUAGUAAAGCAGGUCUGCCUGGUAUGUGGGUGGAUUGACGGUAACGGGAUAAGAAGCGCCGGCUAACUACGUG
Molecule: ribosomal RNA, 494 nt
Filed under: uncultured bacterium
Lineage: Bacteria
Description: partial 16S ribosomal RNA
Rfam family: Bacterial small subunit ribosomal RNA
Source: RNAcentral